RNAcentral lists this ribosomal RNA (856 nucleotides) under Priestia megaterium. RNAcentral describes it as "bacterial SSU rRNA". It matches the Rfam family "Bacterial small subunit ribosomal RNA", at positions 653 to 1506 of the family's 1533-position model. The record is from RNAcentral. Lineage: Bacteria; Bacillati; Bacillota; Bacilli; Caryophanales; Bacillaceae.
AGAGAAAAGCGGAAUUCCCCGGGUAGCGGUGAAAUGCGUAGAGAUGUGGAGGAACACCACUGGCGAAGGCGGCUUUUUGGUCUGUAACUGACGCUGAGGCGCGAAAGCGUGGGGAGCAAACAGGAUUUGAUACCCUGGUAGUACACGCCGUAAACGAUGAGUGGUAAGUGUUAGAGGGUUUCCGCCCUUUAGUGCCGCAGCUAACGCAUUAAGCACUCCGCCUGGGGAGUACGGUCGCAAGACUGAAACUCAAAGGAAUUGACGGGGGGCCGCACAAGCGGUGGAGCAUGUGGUUUAAUUUGAAGCAACGCGAAGAACCUUUCCAGGUCUUGACAUCCUCUGACAACUCUAGAGAUAGAGCGUUCCCCUUCGGGGGACAGAGUGACAGGUGGUGCAUGGUUGUCGUCAGCUCGUGUCGUGAGAUGUUGGGUUAAGUCCCGCAACGAGCGCAACCCUUGAUCUUAGUUGCCAGCAUUUAGUUGGGCACUCUAAGGUGACUGCCGGUGACAAACCGGAGGAAGGUGGGGAUGACGUCAAAUCAUCAUGCCCCUUAUGACCUGGGCUACACACGUGCUACAAUGGAUGGUACAAAGGGCUGCAAGACCGCGAGGUCAAGCCAAUCCCAUAAAACCAUUCUCAGUUCGGAUUGUAGGCUGCAACUCGCCUACAUGAAGCUGGAAUCGCUUGUAAUCGCGGAUCAGCAUUCCGCGGUGAAUACGUUUCCGGGCCUUGUACACACCGCCCGUCACACCACGAGAGUUUGUAACACCCGAAGUCGGUGGAGUAACCGUAAGGAGCUAGCCGCCUAAGGUGGGACUAGAUGAUUGGGGUGAAGUCGUAACAAGGAGCCUGGCCC